CCCAACUAUCCCUAUUAAUCAUUACGUCAAUCCUAGAAACUAACAAAAUAGAAUCAAACGUCCUAUUUUAUUAUUCCAUGCUAAUGUAUUCAAGCGUAAGCCUGUUUUAAACACUCUAAUUUUUUCAAAGUAACAGUCCUGAUUCCCCACGACACCAAAUUAAUGACAUCGCAGUUCUUCAGAAGGGAGGAACUAAUAAUACCAGUGCGUACCAAAGCACAACUGACAAUUUGAUCCCAAAAUUUAACUACGAGCUUUUUAACUGUAACAACUUUAAUAUACACUAUUGGAGCUAGAAUUACUACAGCUGCUAGCACCAGACUUGC
Molecule: unclassified non-coding RNA, 326 nt
Filed under: uncultured Glomerales
Lineage: Eukaryota; Fungi; Glomeromycota; Glomeromycetes; Glomerales; Glomeraceae
Description: sequence contains 18S rRNA gene
Source: RNAcentral